GCAACACGCAUCUUUAGUUGUAACUGCGGGCCUGUCAACCGGGCUGCACUAGAAGGCGUAUCAGAGUCACAGUUGUCCGUUUGUCCUUCGUGCGUACCAGCCUAGGCAUGCACAGAAACCCACCACCGUGAUAGCCAUUCCCAGGAGAAGAGCGACGGCAUCCCCGCCGUCAAAUGCCUCAACCGGCGGUAUAAAUGAAGUAAGCAGUAGCCACAGCAUCAUAAACACACCGCAGAGCCUGUUAUAGGAAGCCAUGUUGUAUUUUCUAGAGGCUGAGCUUAGUGACGUUUUGUCAGAUGAUUGGGGCGCGUUUCCUGCUUGGAGGCCAAUUACACUGUUGCUGUCGUGUUGCCAUGUCAGUGAGGAACUGGCUUCGCUAUGGCUGUUCUUAUCUUCUUUCAAUAAUUAUUCUGGAAUUUGUCUGUCAUGACAUAAAUUGCAAUUGGAACUCUGGGUUUUCUUUCUUUCGAGUCGGUGUGUCACAAAUGAGUGGAGUAGUCAGUUCCAGAUCGAGAACCUCGCACUGCUGUGGAACACCGCCAUUUUAUGUGAACGCCUCUCACAAAUUCCCAGCCGUGGAACGAGACAGAUGUUGCAGAGACGUGCAGGCCAAGAAGAGCUGAAUCCCAGCGAACCUCUCCACUGCUCCUUAUUGCAGGCCUCUCCUAUAGCAGAGAAGAGUGUGUCUGUCCUCAGACUUCCAGGUACUGUAGGAAAUCUAAUUAAAUGAGAACUCAACGGGAGGACUUCAUUUUAUUUUAUUUUAUUUACAGAAUUAGCUUUUUUAAAAAUAAUACUGAAAGAGUUUAGAAAACUCAUUCAGCUAGGCUGCAGAAGGAUAACUGUGCAUGCAUGGCUAUAGCACAUUAGUCAGGUUAGUGAUGGUGUUCUACUGAGGUUAAAGUGUGUUCCUCCUGUCUUCCAUUGCAA
Anguilla anguilla (European eel) is the source of this 930-nucleotide long non-coding RNA. RefSeq lists it as uncharacterized. The record is from RefSeq and is a predicted model, not a curated record. NCBI's taxonomy places the organism in Eukaryota, Metazoa, Chordata, Actinopteri, Anguilliformes, Anguillidae. The transcript has 3 exons.